This is a small nuclear RNA of Callithrix jacchus (white-tufted-ear marmoset), 107 nucleotides long. The record is from Ensembl. NCBI's taxonomy places the organism in Eukaryota, Metazoa, Chordata, Mammalia, Primates, Cebidae.
GUGCUCGCCUUGGCAGCACAUAAACCAAAAUUGGAAUGAUACAGAGAAGACUAGCAUGGCCCCUGAGCAAGGAUGAUACACAAAUUCGUGAAGCAUUCCAUGUUUUU